CCUACGGGAGGCAGCAGUGAGGAAUAUUGGUCAAUGGGCUUACGCCUGAACCAGCCAAGUCGCGUGAGGGAAGACUGCCCUAUGGGUUGUAAACCUCUUUUGUCAGGGAGCAAUUGGCGCUACGUGUAGCAUUAUCGAGAGUACCUGAAGAAAAAGCAUCGGCUAACUCCGUGCCAGCAGCCGCGGUAAUACGGAGGAUGCGAGCGUUAUCCGGAUUUAUUGGGUUUAAAGGGUGCGUAGGCGGAAUGCCAAGUCAGCGGUAAAAUCGCGGGGCUCAACCUCGCUCCGCCGUUGAAACUGGCGUUCUAGAGUGGGCGAGAAGGAUGCGGAAUGCGUGGUGUAGCGGUGAAAUGCAUAGAUAUCACGCAGAACUCCGAUUGCGAAGGCAGCAUACCGGCGCCCAACUGACGCUGAAGCACGAAAGCGUGGGUAUCGAACAGGAUUAGAUACCCUUGUAGUC
This 460-nucleotide ribosomal RNA is filed under the name uncultured bacterium. RNAcentral's name for it is "partial 16S ribosomal RNA". It matches the Rfam family "Bacterial small subunit ribosomal RNA", at positions 338 to 795 of the family's 1533-position model. The record is from RNAcentral.